This 253-nucleotide ribosomal RNA is filed under the name uncultured bacterium. Its description in RNAcentral is "partial 16S ribosomal RNA". It matches the Rfam family "Bacterial small subunit ribosomal RNA", at positions 524 to 776 of the family's 1533-position model. The record is from RNAcentral.
GACGAGCCUCACAAACGUUAUUCGGAAUUACUGGGCUUAAAGGGUGCGUAGGCGGCGCGGCAAGUUGGGUGUGAAAUCCCUCAGCUUAACUGAGGAAGGGCGCCCAAAACUACCGUGCUCGAGGGAGAUAGAGGAGUGCGGAACUUAGGGUGGAGCGGUGAAAUGCGUUGAUAUCCUAGGGAACACCGGUGGCGAAAGCGGCACUCUGGAUCUCUUCUGACGCUGAGGCACGAAAGCUAGGGUAGCAAACGGG